Molecule: RNA transcript, 1112 nt
Organism: Sceloporus undulatus (fence lizard)
Lineage: Eukaryota; Metazoa; Chordata; Lepidosauria; Squamata; Phrynosomatidae
Gene name: CD209 antigen-like
Exons: 7
Source: RefSeq, a predicted model, not a curated record
GUGGAGGGGAGGAAAGAACGGAGCAGGGCAGCUGGAGGAGGCUGGAAGAAGCAAUGGGAAACACAGAGGAGAAGUAGGGAAGGUGUCAAGUGAAACAGACCUGAAGAAGAGCAAGGCCAGUACCUGAGCUGUAACCUGGAACUAAGAAGAGGAAAGAGAAGUAGAAGCCAUGGCUCCCAAGCCCGCAGCAAAGCCCCCGGCAAAGCCCGCAGGUCCUACUCCGGCGCCACCACCAGCAACACCACAAGCAGCACCAAAGACCUUCAUGGGUAGGAAGAUAAAGUCACUUCCGCCAAAGAUGAAAACGAUGCUCAUCUUAAGCUUUGGAAGCGUGUGUUUUGCCAUCUUCAUUCUAUCCACUGCUGGCUAUAUUCGGUUACGUUUAGCGAAGUCAAAUCCUUAUGUACCACCGCUGAACCAACUGAGGAAAGCAUUGGCAGAAGGGCGCAGAAAUCCUUUGAUCGGUUAUAAGCACUGUAAGUGGAAGAUGUCGGGAUAUCAGAUGAAGUAAGGCAGUUGCCAAACUACUUAUCAGAAUCUAAGAAGGAUCUCCGUAACCGGAAAGCAAAGUACCAAUCCAUCUUCAAGAAAGGAAGAACGAGAUCCGCUGACCAGUGGGAGAUUUUUGGGAGGAAUAUCUACUACAUUUCAAAUGUAGAGAAGACAUGGUACGAUGCGGAGAGCUUUUGCAUGUCUAGGGAUGCCCACUUGGCUUCCAUCUUAACUGAAGAUGAGCAGUUUUUCAUCAGCUCUCAGCUCAACCACCCUACUUGGAUCGGUCUUACAGAUGAAAAUGUGGAAGGCGACUGGGAAUGGACCGAUGGUUCCAGAGUGAUAACACAGUUUUGGUCCGAGGGCAGCCCUAGCUCUGAUGACGACUACACAAACAUGGAUCGAGACUGCGCCACUAUUGAUCCUUCACAAAUCAGAAACAACUGGAACGACACUGACUGCCACGAACUGAAAAGAUGGAUUUGUAAGGAGAGUUUAGACAUUGAGGGACAAUCAAUUUGGCCAAUCUCAUUCCAUGGAGGAACUAUGGAAUACUAGAAGACCGUGGUGUCUUCUAGCAGGAAAUCUACUAACCACAGAAUAAACAUGGAGAAACUAGA